GACGACGCUGGCGGCGUGCUUAACACAUGCAAGUCGAACGGACGAGUGAGAUAAGUUUACUUAACUCACAAGUUAGUGGCGGACGGGUGAGUAACACGUGGAUAAUCUACCUGCAACACCGGGAUAACGCUGUGAAAACGGUGCUAAUACCGGAUACGUUCCCUUGUGCGCAUGUAUGAGGGAAGAAAGCUCAGGCGGUUGCAGAUGAGUCCGCGGCUGAUUAGCUAGUUGGUGAGGUAAAAGGCUCACCAAGGCGAUGAUCAGUAGCCGGCCUGAGAGGGUGAACGGCCACACUGGGACUGAGACACGGCCCAGACUCCUACGGGAGGCAGCAGUGGGGAAUCUUCCGCAAUGGGCGCAAGCCUGACGGAGCAACGCCGCGUGGGUGAAGAAGGCCUUCGGGUUGUAAAGCCCUGUCUUAUGGGAAGAAGUCAGUGACGGUACCAUAGGAGGAAGCCACGGCUAACUACGUG
Molecule: ribosomal RNA, 473 nt
Filed under: uncultured bacterium
Lineage: Bacteria
Description: bacterial SSU rRNA
Rfam family: Bacterial small subunit ribosomal RNA
Source: RNAcentral